AUCCCCUCAGGCCCGCUCCUUUUGCCGGUGCGGGCUUGGAUCUGGACGCCUGCGGCCUCUUUUUGGCCGCUCGUCUUUAAACGCAUUAGCCGGUCCCUGCGGCCGACGACGGUGUGAUAACAAACGCUUAGUGCGCCGUUCGUCGCUGGCCCUUGGGGUUGCUUAAAGGUGUCGUCCCUUCACGUC
RNAcentral lists this unclassified non-coding RNA (186 nucleotides) under uncultured Basidiomycota. RNAcentral's name for it is "sequence contains ITS2". The record is from RNAcentral. Lineage: Eukaryota; Fungi; Basidiomycota.